AAUGAACGCUGGCGGCGCGCUUAAUACAUGCAAGUCGAACGAGAAGGCCCGCAAGGGUGAGUAAAGUGGCGCACGGGUGAGUAACGCGUAAGUAAUCUACCCCUGAAUUUGGAAUAACCUAGCGAAAGCUGGGCUAAUACUGGAUAAGCUCCCGCGAGGGUGAUCUUGUGAGAGAAAAGUAUGCCACUAUUUAUAAGCAUACGUUUAGGGAUGAGCUUGCGUAACCAUUAGCUAGUUGGUGGGGUAAAGGCCUACCAAGGCAAUGAUGGUUAGCUGGUCUGAGAGGAUGGUCAGCCACACUGGAACUGAGACACGGUCCAGACUCCUACGGGAGGCAGCAGUAGGGAAUUUUGCGCAAUGGGGGAAACCCUGACGCAGCGACGCCGCGUGAGUGAUGAAGGCCUUCGGGUUGUAAAGCUCUGUCAGACGGGACGAAUGUCCUUUGGUCUAAUAGGCCGAAGGAGUGACGGUACCGUCGGAGGAAGCACCGGCUAACUCUGUGCCAGCAGCCGCGGUAA
RNAcentral lists this ribosomal RNA (518 nucleotides) under uncultured bacterium. RNAcentral's name for it is "partial 16S ribosomal RNA". It matches the Rfam family "Bacterial small subunit ribosomal RNA", at positions 29 to 523 of the family's 1533-position model. The record is from RNAcentral.